GUCCACGCCCUAAACGAUGGAUGUUCGGUGUCGGUCCGCAAGGAUCGGUGCCUGAGCUAACGCGUUAAACAUCCCACCUGGGGAGUACGAUCGCAAGGUUGAAACUUCAAAGGAAUUGACGGGGGCCCGCACAAGCAGUGGAGCAUGUGGUUUAAUUCCGAUGCAACGCGAAGAACCUUACCUGGGUUUGAAAGGCAAGUGACAGGCGAUGAAAGUCGCUCUCUCCGCAAGGGGCACUUGUACAGGUGCUGCAUGGCUGUCGU
RNAcentral lists this ribosomal RNA (263 nucleotides) under uncultured bacterium. Its description in RNAcentral is "partial 16S ribosomal RNA". It matches the Rfam family "Bacterial small subunit ribosomal RNA", at positions 793 to 1055 of the family's 1533-position model. The record is from RNAcentral.